UUGUACACACCGCCCGUCACACCAUGGGAGUGGGUUGCUCCAGAAGUAGCUAGUCUAACCGCAAGGGGACGGUUACCACGGAGGUAUUCAUGACUGGGGUGAAGUCGUAACAAGGUAGCCGUAGGGAACCUGCGGCUGGAUCACCUCCUUAAUCG
RNAcentral lists this ribosomal RNA (155 nucleotides) under chlamydia-associated clinical sample L2-comp1. RNAcentral's name for it is "partial 16S ribosomal RNA". It matches the Rfam family "Bacterial small subunit ribosomal RNA", at positions 1381 to 1533 of the family's 1533-position model. The record is from RNAcentral.